UGAAAACAAAACGUAAGUUGCUCUGGAUAAGAGCGUCUGCUAAAUGACUAAAA
Molecule: non-coding RNA, 53 nt
Organism: Salmo salar (Atlantic salmon)
Lineage: Eukaryota; Metazoa; Chordata; Actinopteri; Salmoniformes; Salmonidae
Source: Rfam